This 422-nucleotide ribosomal RNA is filed under the name Bacillus sp. G9a. RNAcentral's name for it is "bacterial SSU rRNA". It matches the Rfam family "Bacterial small subunit ribosomal RNA", at positions 1098 to 1527 of the family's 1533-position model. Lineage: Bacteria; Bacillati; Bacillota; Bacilli; Caryophanales; Bacillaceae. The record is from RNAcentral.
GCACCCYUGAUCUUAGUGCCAGCAUUCAGUUGGCACUCUAAGUGACUGCCGUGACAAACCGGAGGAAGGUGGGAUGACGUCAAAUCAUCAUGCCCCUUAUGACCUGGGCUACACACGUGCUACAAUGGGCAGAACAAAGGGCAGCGAAGCCGCGAGGCUAAGCCAAUCCCACAAAUCUGUUCUCAGUUCGGAUCGCAGUCUGCAACUCGACUGCGUGAAGCUGGAAUCGCUAGUAAUCGCGGAUCAGCAUGCBGCGGUGAAUACGUUCCCGGGCCUUGUACACACCGCCCGUCACACCACGAGAGUUUGUAACACCCGAAGUCGGUGAGGUAACCUUUUGGAGCCAGCCGCCGAAGGUGGGACAGAUGAUUGGGGUGAAGUCGUAACAAGGUAGCCGUAUCGGAAGGUGCGGCUGGAUCACC